Molecule: ribosomal RNA, 862 nt
Filed under: Kurixalus lenquanensis
Lineage: Eukaryota; Metazoa; Chordata; Amphibia; Anura; Rhacophoridae
Description: partial 16S ribosomal RNA
Rfam family: Bacterial large subunit ribosomal RNA
Source: RNAcentral
CAGCCACCUUUAAAAAAGCGUUAAAGCUUAAUUUAAUUUUAUAAAAAAAUACCUCAAAUUAACAUGAACCCUUCACUAUUACUGAAUGAUUUUAUAUAUAUAUAAAAAACACUAUGCUAGAACUAGUAACAAGAAUAUAAUAUUCUCCAAAAUGUAAGCAUAGACCAAAAUGGAUCAUCCAUUGGUAUUUAACGAAAAUGAGUAAUUACAGUAACAUACACAAGAAAACCCUGCAUAUAACAUCGUUAAACUAACACUAGAACAUUUCCGGAAAGAUUAAAAGAAAAAGAAGGAACUCGGCAAAUUCCAACCCCGCCUGUUUACCAAAAACAUCGCCUCUUGUUUAAUAAUAAGAGGUCCAGCCUGCCCAGUGAUAACAUUCAACGGCCGCAGUACCCUAACUGCGCGAAGGUAGCAUAAUCACUUGUUCUUUAAAUAGGGACUAGUAUCAACGGCAUCACGAGGGUUGCACUGUCUCCUUUAUCUAAUCAGUGAAACUGAUCUCCCCAUGAAAAAGCGGGGAUACACCUAUAAGACGAGAAGACCCCAUGGAGCUUUAAACCUACAGCAACUCAACUAUAUAAUUCCACACAACCUUAGAGACAUGCCCGUUGGCUUUAGGUUGGGGUGACCGCGGAGUAAAAGCCACCCUCCGCAACACAAAGAUCUAAAUCUUUAUUCAAGAACUACCACUCUAAAAAUUAGCACACUAAUGUACACCGACCCGAUAAUCGAUUAAUGAACCAAGUUACCCUGGGGAUAACAGCGCAAUCUAUUUCAAGAGUUCAUAUCGACAAAUAGGCUUACGACCUCGAUGUUGGAUCAGGGUAUCCCAGUGGUGUAGCAGCUACUGAAGGUUCGU